AGUGAACGCUGGCGGUAUGCCUAACACAUGCAAGUCGAACGGCCGCACAGUAAGAGCUUGCUCUUACGGGUGGCGAGUGGCGGACGGGUGAGGAAUACAUCGGAAUCUACUUUUUCGUGGGGGAUAACGUAGGGAAACUUAGGCUAAUACCGCAUAUGACCUACGGGUGAAAGCAGAGGAUCUUCAGACCUUGCGCGAUUGAAUGAGCCGACGUCGGAUUAGCUAGUUGGCGGGGUAAAGGCACACCAAGGCGACGAUCCGUAGCUGGUCUGAGAGGAUGAUCGGCCACACUGGAACUGAGACACGGUCCAGACUCCUACGGGAGGCAGCAGUGGGGAAUCUUCCGCAAUGGGCGAAAGCCUGACGGAGCCAUACCGCGUGAGUGAAGAAGGUCUUCGGAUCGUAAAGCUCUGUUGUUAGGGAAGAAAAGCAGCAGGUGUAUCUCACGCUGUUUUGACGGUACCUAAAGAAUAGGCACCGGCUAACUACGUG
Molecule: ribosomal RNA, 492 nt
Filed under: uncultured bacterium
Lineage: Bacteria
Description: partial 16S ribosomal RNA
Rfam family: Bacterial small subunit ribosomal RNA
Source: RNAcentral